This 1914-nucleotide long non-coding RNA is filed under the name Mus musculus (house mouse). Its description in RNAcentral is "long non-coding RNA chr3:34764140-34766054". Lineage: Eukaryota; Metazoa; Chordata; Mammalia; Rodentia; Muridae. The record is from RNAcentral.
GCAGGGUAGGGUGGGAGGCUCAGACUUCCAGAGAUGUCUACCUCUGUCUGCUCAGUGCUCGGACUAAAUGUGUAGCUACUGUUUCUGACUGAUUCGAGACAGAAUCUUCUGUAAUCAAGGCUGGCCUUGAACUCACUAAGCUGGUAAGUAUGACUUUGGGCUUCUGAUUUUCUUGCCUCCACCUCUCUCUCACAUACUAAGAUGGCAGACAUGUACCGUCAUGCAGGAGUUUGAACCCAAGGCGAGCAUUCUACCAACUGGGCUGUAUCCACAUCCCAAGGAGAAUGCAAGUGUUCUGUGUUCAAAGACAUCCUGCUUCCUUCUGUUAUUUGAUAUUUUUAAACUUUCAUGCUUUGGAGAGUUUGUGCCAUGUGGCCCUAGAUGUUCUGCAACUCACUUUGUAGACCAUCCUAGCUAGGAACUCAGAGACCUGCCUGCCUCUGUCUCCUAAGGACCUGAAUUUCAGGAAUGUUCCCCCAUCCUCCCUAUACUGUCUGUUUUUUAAAAGCCCCUCGUGUUUUCUCUAAUGCCCUGGAGAAUGUCCCUCAGCCAAACAGUUCUGUUGUAAUUUUGGGCACAGCUUGAGUGACAGACCAGACCUGGAGGCUUGCCCUACUUUGACCUUGGACAGUUCCUAGGUCUCAGUUUUCUUUGUCAUGGACCAAGCUCCCCUUCCAGCCCUUAAGGCAACAAACAAACAAACAGACAGACAGACAGACAAACAGACUUGUCAGUUUCUUUUUCUUCAGUUCAAGAAGUCUGUCUUUUUCAGCAGCAGAUCUGCAAGUUGCCUGCGUGCUUUUCUAUUCCAGAUGUCUCGCCUCUGCAAGCUUGCCUUUUCUCCUGCCGUUAUCUUCUGCAAAUGCGCCUCUCACUUUAAAGUUAGGGUACCCCAAUACCUUAACCCUUCCUUUUGGACAGGCUCCUCAGCUCACACUGCACGGUCACUGUUUCUCUGUCACAUACAAGCACUGCUGGGAAACAGAGAGGAGCUGCAAAGUUGUGACAACCAUAACAAUGACAUUGUGGCUUCUUGUUACUCCUACUCACUCUUUCUUUCUUUAAGAUGUAUUUGUUUUGAGACAGCUGCCUUAGUUAUAAAUGGCUGCUGUGAUACAACACCCUACGGAAGCAACCCAGAGAGGGAUGGCCGCAGGAGCAAGGAACGGCUGGUCAGCUGACUUCCACAGUCUCGGAGGAAGGGAGCAUCCUGGAUAACCUGCUGUCUACUCCCUGCUCUCCGCCUACUAAGUUAAGUCCCCACCCCACUGAGGGAGCCAUGCCACCCAUGGUGGCAUCCGGUCUUCCUAAUCAAGAUAACCUCCAUGUCCCAAGGCCUCUCUUCCAGGAGAUUCCAGAUUUUGCCAACUUGACAAUAUGUAUCCCAGGCUGGUCUUGAACUUGAGGUCUCUCUGCCCCAGCCUCCCGAUCGAUCAUUAAGAUUGCUGGUAUGGGCUACUACAGCCAGUUUUACAGAGCGCCAGGGGUUGGGUCUAGAGUCUUUUACGUGUUAGGCACACACUACCAAUUCUUUUCAUUUUUAAACAGUUGAUGAGUGGGUUACAGUAUGGCUCAGGGGCAGAAGCUUGGCUAGCAUGCUGUAGGCCCCAGGUUUGGCUUUUAGCAGGGUGUGUAUGUGUGUGUGUGUGUGUGUGUGUGUGUGUUUGUGUAGGUCAGUAGAAAUAGGUGGUCAAUUUUAAGGUGGCAGGCACUUGCCAUUUAUGCUAAAGGUUGCUUUCCUUGUGGCUAGGACAUGCAGGUGCCCUCAGCAAGUUUCUGUUUCAGGUCUACUGUGCUUAGAGCCCAUGUGCUCUUGGGAGCACUGAGAGACGCUGGGUUUGACAGCAGGACACACUUGUACAUAAGACAAAUAUACAGCUCAGGGUGUUUAAGGUUGCCUUAAUAGAGACCCAU